GUGAGGCUGAAUAUGUCCUUUACAUCUACUGGCUGCCAGAAUCUCAUUGAAGUGGAUGAUGAAUGUGAAUUUAGUACUUUUUUUUGAAAAGCAUAUGGCCAUAGAAAUCACGACUAAGGCUCUGGGUAAAGAAUGGAAGGGUUAUGUGGUCCAGAUCAAUGGUGGUAAUGACAAAUAAGAUUUCCUCAUGAAGCAGGAUGACUUGAACCAUGGCUGGGUCCUCUUGCUACUGAAUAAGUGGAAUUCUUGUUAUAGACCCAGGGCAACUAGAAAAAAGAAUGUGAAAAUGUUUUGAGUUUCAUUUGGAUGCCAAUCUGUAUGGACUCAACUUCGUUAUAAAAAUAAUUGUGAGAAAAAAAUACAGUAGAGAAAGACAUUUGUCGACUGACUGACACCACAGUGCCUGAUCACCUGGGGCCCAAAAGAGCUAGGAAAAUCACUAACCAUUUAAUUAUCUUUAAAGAGGUAAUAUCUACCAAUAUGUUGUAAGAAAGCCCUUAAACAAAUAAGGUAAGAAACCCAGGAUCAAAGCACCCAAGGUUCAGCAUCUUGUUACUCCGCAUGUCCUGCAACACAAACUCUGGUGUAUUGUUCUGAAAAAAACUGUGUAUCAAGAAAACUAAGGAAGAGUCCACAGAAUAUGCUAAACUUUUAGCCCAGAGAAUGAAGAAAGACAAAAACAGAUCACCAGAAACAGAUUGCCAAGACACAUGGACUGUCAUCUGAGACCUUCUACUUCUUAGUUCAGACAAAAAUAA
RNAcentral lists this long non-coding RNA (758 nucleotides) under Homo sapiens (human). Its description in RNAcentral is "non-protein coding lnc-OTOL1-9:1". Lineage: Eukaryota; Metazoa; Chordata; Mammalia; Primates; Hominidae. The record is from RNAcentral.